GUGAGGAAUAUUGCGCAAUGGAGGCAACUCUGACGCAGCCAUGCCGCGUGCAGGAAGAAGGCGCUACGCGUUGUAAACUGCUUUUAACCGGGAAGAAACCCCAGGACGUGUCCUGGGUUGACGGUACCGGAGGAAUAAGCACCGGCUAACUUCGUGCCAGCAGCCGCGGUAAUACGAAGGGUGCAAGCGUUAUCCGGAUUCAUUGGGUUUAAAGGGUGCGUAGGCGGAGCUUUAAGUCAGUGGUGAAAUCCUGCAGCGUAACUGUAGACUUGCCAUUGAUACUGGCGCUCUUGAGUGCGCUUGAAGUGGGCGGAAUGUGCCGUGUAGCGGUGAAAUGCUUAGAUAUGGCACAGAACACCAAUUGCGAAGGCAGCUCACUAAGGCGAUACUGACGCUGAGGCACGAAAGCGUGGGGAUCGAACAGGAUUAGAUACCCGGGUAGUCC
RNAcentral lists this ribosomal RNA (445 nucleotides) under uncultured bacterium. RNAcentral describes it as "partial 16S ribosomal RNA". It matches the Rfam family "Bacterial small subunit ribosomal RNA", at positions 354 to 796 of the family's 1533-position model. The record is from RNAcentral.